GACGAACGCUGGCGGCGUGCUUAACACAUGCAAGUCGAACGGAAAGGCCCUGCUUUUGUGGGGUGCUCGAGUGGCGAACGGGUGAGUAACACGUGAGUAACCUGCCCUUGACUUUGGGAUAACUUCAGGAAACUGGGGCUAAUACCGGAUAGGAGCUCCUGCUGCAUGGCGGGGGUUGGAAAGUUUCGGCGGUUGGGGAUGGACUCGCGGCUUAUCAGCUUGUUGGUGGGGUAGUGGCUUACCAAGGCUUUGACGGGUAGCCGGCCUGAGAGGGUGACCGGCCACAUUGGGACUGAGAUACGGCCCAGACUCCUACGGGAGGCAGCAGUGGGGAAUAUUGCACAAUGGGCGGAAGCCUGAUGCAGCAACGCCGCGUGCGGGAUGACGGCCUUCGGGUUGUAAACCGCUUUCGCCUGUGACGAAGCGUGAGUGGCGGUAAUGGGUAAAGAAGCACCGGCUAACUACGUG
Molecule: ribosomal RNA, 468 nt
Filed under: uncultured bacterium
Lineage: Bacteria
Description: partial 16S ribosomal RNA
Rfam family: Bacterial small subunit ribosomal RNA
Source: RNAcentral